RNAcentral lists this ribosomal RNA (1118 nucleotides) under Escherichia coli. RNAcentral describes it as "partial 23S ribosomal RNA". It matches the Rfam family "Bacterial large subunit ribosomal RNA", at positions 1 to 1124 of the family's 2925-position model. The record is from RNAcentral. Lineage: Bacteria; Pseudomonadati; Pseudomonadota; Gammaproteobacteria; Enterobacterales; Enterobacteriaceae.
AGGUUAAGUUAAUAAGGGCGCACGGUGGAUGCCUUGGCACUAGGAGCCGACGAAGGACGUGACAAACGACGAUAUGCCUUGGGUAGCUGUAAGUAAGCGAUGAUCCAGGGAUUUCCGAAUGGGGGAACCCAACAGGUAGUACCUGUUACCCACAUCUGUUAAGGAUGUGAGGAGGAAGACGCAGUGAACUGAAACAUCUAAGUAGCUGCAGGAAGAGAAAGCAAAAGCGAUUGCCUUAGUAGCGGCGAGCGAAACGGCAGGAGGGCAAACCGAAGAGUUUACUCUUCGGGGUUGUAGGACUGCAAUGUGGACUCAAAGAUUAUAGAAGAAUGAUUUGGGAAGAUCAGCCAAAGAGAGUAAUAGCCUCGUAUUUAAAAUAGUCUUUGUACUUAGCAGUAUCCUGAGUACGGCGGGACACGUGAAAUCCCGUCGGAAUCUGGGAGGACCAUCUCCCAACCCUAAAUACUCCCUAGUGACCGAUAGUGAACCAGUACCGUGAGGGAAAGGUGAAAAGCACCCCGGGAGGGGAGUGAAAUAGAACCUGAAACCGUGUGCCUACAACAAGUUCGAGCCCGUUAAUGGGUGAGAGCGUGCCUUUUGUAGAAUGAACCGGCGAGUUACGUUAUGAUGCGAGGUUAAGUUGAAGAGACGGAGCCGUAGGGAAACCGAGUCUGAAUAGGGCGCCUUAGUAUCAUGACGUAGACCCGAAACCAUGUGACCUACCCAUGAGCAGGUUGAAGGUGCGGUAAGACGCACUGGAGGACCGAACCAGGGCACGUUGAAAAGUGCUUGGAUGACUUGUGGGUAGCGGAGAAAUUCCAAACGAACUUGGAGAUAGCUGGUUCUCUCCGAAAUAGCUUUAGGGCUAGCGUCGACAUUAGAGAUUCUUGGAGGUAGAGCACUGUUUGGGUGAGGGGUCCAUCCCGGAUUACCAAUCUCAGAUAAACUCCGAAUGCCAAUGAAUUAUGGUCGGCAGUCAGACUGCGAGUGCUAAGAUCCGUAGUCGAAAGGGAAACAGCCCAGACCACCAGCUAAGGUCCCAAAAUAAUUGUUAAGUGGAAAAGGAUGUGGGGUUGCACAGACAACUAGGAUGUUAGCUUAGAAGCAGCUAUUCAUUC